UACGAAGGGGGCUAGCGUUGUUCGGAUUUACUGGGCGUAAAGCGCACGUAGGCGGAUCGUUAAGUCCGGGGUGAAAUCCUGGGGCUCAACCCCAGAACUGCCUUUGAUACUGGCGAUCUCGAGUCCGGAAGAGGUGAGUGGAACUCCUAGUGUAGAGGUGGAAUUCGUAGAUAUUAGGAAGAACACCAGUGGCGAAGGCGGCUCACUGGUCCGGUACUGACGCUGAGGUGCGAAAGCGUGGGGAGCAAACAGG
RNAcentral lists this ribosomal RNA (253 nucleotides) under uncultured bacterium. RNAcentral describes it as "partial 16S ribosomal RNA". It matches the Rfam family "Bacterial small subunit ribosomal RNA", at positions 524 to 776 of the family's 1533-position model. The record is from RNAcentral.